GGACUAAUAUCUCCUAUUCUAGUGUAUAGGAGUGUUAAUUGAGGUUGAGUUUAAGGACUAAUAUCUCCUAUUCUAGUGUAUAGGAGUGUUUAUUGAGGUUGAGUUUAAGGACUAAUAUCUCCUAUUCUAGUGUAUAGGAGUGUUUAUUGAGGUUGAGUUUAAGGACUAAUAUCUCCUAUUCUAGUGUAUAGGAGUGUUUAUUGAGG
Long non-coding RNA from Astyanax mexicanus (Mexican tetra), 206 nucleotides. RefSeq lists it as uncharacterized. The transcript is spliced from 3 exons. Lineage: Eukaryota; Metazoa; Chordata; Actinopteri; Characiformes; Acestrorhamphidae. The record is from RefSeq and is a predicted model, not a curated record.